Molecule: long non-coding RNA, 1034 nt
Organism: Canis lupus familiaris (dog)
Lineage: Eukaryota; Metazoa; Chordata; Mammalia; Carnivora; Canidae
Exons: 4
Source: RefSeq, a predicted model, not a curated record
CAAAUGGUUGCUGGAAUGCCGGAAUAUUCGAGAAUAUUCUAGAAUUUCCGGGUGUGUGUGUGUGUGUGGCCUCCAUCAGCUCCCUCCACACACACCCCCACAGGAGAGAAAGGGGUACAGCUGUGGAAACUGGCACUGCUUCCCACAUUGCCUGGAGACUAAGCUUCUCUGCCCAUUACUGCACCUGGUUCCAGCCCAGGUCCUAAACUUGCGUCCCAAAGCCGUCCCUCUGCCCUCUGGCUAGCAGGACUCACCCUCUUCAGAAGAUUUUCUCCUCUGCGUGUACCCUGGCAACCCAUCACCGUGUGUCACCAGGUCAAAGGCAGCACUUUCUCUGGAUUUUGGUGAAUGAAAUUCUCUUUGUCCUACUACCCCAAUAAUAGAUGCCGACUGUAGUGCCAAGAAAGAGAGGCAUCGUGAGCCGGCUGAAUCCAGGGACCCAAAGGCUCCACCCAAUCCUGCCUCUGAGCUUUUGUGCUUGGAACCUGGCUGCCAUUUUUGAAACCCAACAUCUUUGUUAGAGAGCCAUGUGGAGAGAGAGGCCGUUUUCCUCUCCCUGGCGCACCCACUGAGCGGCAGGCGAUUCACACUUCUGCAGGUCCUCUUAGCCCAGCUGCCUCUCCUGACCUCUAACCUUAUAAUGACCACACCCCUUUACCUGUGAGCUUUGUUUUCUUCCCUAUAUAAAAUUAUAUCACAAAAAUUUUGUUCUCAGAGCCUAGAACUGUGCCUGGGACAUACAAUGUUCCAAGUAAAUACUUUUAGACUGGAUGGAUGGAUGGAUAGAUGGAUGGAUGGAUGGAUGGAUGGAUGGACGGAUGAAUGAAUCCCAGCCCUCUUGUUCCUUCAUCACCUUCACACUGUUUUGCUGCAAAAACAAACAUCUCUGCCACGCAUCUUUUUACAGAUACCUUCUCAAAUUUGGAGAAACUAAGCGUCCAUGGUGGAUAUGGUAACCGGCCCCUGUUCCCAUUCUCUGCUUCUUGUUUUCCCAUUUGGGAGAGAGGAAGCUCCCAUUGACGGCCAUCUGUCUU